This 253-nucleotide ribosomal RNA is filed under the name uncultured bacterium. Its description in RNAcentral is "partial 16S ribosomal RNA". It matches the Rfam family "Bacterial small subunit ribosomal RNA", at positions 524 to 776 of the family's 1533-position model. The record is from RNAcentral.
UACGUAGGGGGCGAGCGUUGUCCGGAAUCAUUGGGCGUAAAGCGCGUGUAGGCGGCCCGGUAAGUCCGCUGUGAAAGUCCAGGGCUCAACCGUGGAGGGUCAUUGGAAACUGUGGGACUUGAGUGCAGGAGAGAAGAGUGGAAUUCCACGUGUAGCGGUGAAAUGCGUAGAGAUGUGGAGGAACACCAGUGGCGAAGGCGACUCUUUGGCCUGUAACUGACGCUGAGGCGCGAAAGCGUGGGGAGCAAACAGG